This 200-nucleotide unclassified non-coding RNA is filed under the name soil metagenome. Its description in RNAcentral is "partial contains internal transcribed spacer 2 and large subunit ribosomal RNA". The record is from RNAcentral.
GCCUUAAAAGCAUUAGCUGAUCCUCGUGUGGAACUGGUUCUACUCAGCGUGAUAACAGUCUGAUCGCUGAGGACAUCUUUCGGGAUGGCCAGUCCCCAUUUUGGAUUGCUUCUAGACCUGGUUUUUGCAGAUUGUGUUUGAUCUGUAUUCCAAUUUUCAGCUUUGACCUCGAAUCAGGUGGGACUACCCGCUGAACUUAA